Molecule: small RNA, 290 nt
Filed under: Sulfitobacter noctilucicola
Lineage: Bacteria; Pseudomonadati; Pseudomonadota; Alphaproteobacteria; Rhodobacterales; Roseobacteraceae
Description: 5' ureB small RNA
Rfam family: 5' ureB small RNA
Source: Rfam by way of RNAcentral
CAUCCUCGAUCUGUUGCGGACAGAUAAAAUGAAUGUGCGAGUCAAAUCCGCCAGCGGUCAGGAUACGGCCUUCACCCGCGAUGGCCUCGGUUCCCGGUCCGAUGAUGAUAUCGACACCCGGUUGUGUGUCAGGGUUGCCUGCUUUGCCGAUUUUGUGGAUGCGGCCAUCCUUCAGACCCACAUCUGCUUUGUAGAUGCCGGUGUGAUCCACGAUCAGCGCGUUUGUGAUGACGGUAUCGACCGCCCCCUCCGCACGCGUUGCCUGAGACUGGCCCAUCCCGUCGCGGAUG